Molecule: ribosomal RNA, 508 nt
Filed under: uncultured bacterium
Lineage: Bacteria
Description: partial 16S ribosomal RNA
Rfam family: Bacterial small subunit ribosomal RNA
Source: RNAcentral
AUUGAACGCUGGCGGCAUGCCUUACACAUGCAAGUCGAACGGCAGCGGGGGAGAAGCUUGCUUUUCCUGCCGGCGAGUGGCGAACGGGUGAGUAAUACAUCGGAACGUGCCCUGUAGUGGGGGAUAACUAGUCGAAAGAUUAGCUAAUACCGCAUACGACCUGAGGGUGAAAGUGGGGGACCGCAAGGCCUCAUGCUAUAGGAGCGGCCGAUGUCUGAUUAGCUAGUCGGUGGGGUAAAGGCCUACCAAGGCGACGAUCAGUAGUUGGUCUGAGAGGACGAUCAGCCACACUGGGACUGAGACACGGCCCAGACUCCUACGGGAGGCAGCAGUGGGGAAUUUUGGACAAUGGGCGAAAGCCUGAUCCAGCAAUGCCGCGUGUGUGAAGAAGGCCUUCGGGUUGUAAAGCACUUUUGUCCGGAAAGAAAUGGCUCUGGUUAAUACCUGGGGUCGAUGACGGUACCGGAAGAAUAAGGACCGGCUAACUACGUGCCAGCCGCCGCAGUAA